GCCAGGCAUGGUGGCGCAUGCCUGUAAUCCCAGCAGUUUGAGAGGCUGAGACAGGAGAAUUGCAAGUUCAAAGCCAGCCUCAGCAACAAAGAGGUGCUAAGCAACUCAGUGAGACCCUGUCUCUA
This 125-nucleotide small RNA is filed under the name Marmota monax (woodchuck). Lineage: Eukaryota; Metazoa; Chordata; Mammalia; Rodentia; Sciuridae. The record is from RNAcentral.